This is a long non-coding RNA of Gavialis gangeticus (Gharial), 623 nucleotides long. RefSeq lists it as uncharacterized. NCBI's taxonomy places the organism in Eukaryota, Metazoa, Chordata, Crocodylia, Gavialidae. The record is from RefSeq and is a predicted model, not a curated record. The transcript is spliced from 2 exons.
GAGAUGUUAUACAAAGAAGCUAAAGGAUUUCUCAAGGUAAUAUAGGAAGACACUGUGAGAAAUGGAAGUCUUCUGAUUGAGUCAGUUCUUCAGCCCUCCAUCAUGUUGCAUCCUUUUACACGCCCUAAACAGGGAGACAGUGAAAGAAGAACAAGAGCCCAGCGUCUCUGGGAGGUAGAAAGACUUGGGGAAGAAUUGAACUCGGUGAAGAAGAGCAGGAAGAAUGAGGGAGAGAUUUGUAUUAAAGAAAAAUCCAUCUUAACAAACAAGCUUAGAUGUGGUUGAUUUUUUUUUUUAAUUAUUACUAUUAUUAUUAUCAGAGAAAAACGUUUUUUCCCCUCCCUUUGAUGCCUGAACAGAAACAAAAAAAUGUAUAUCGUUGUUUCAUGCCAUGUUGUACAAGACGUCAGUACACAGGUUAAUGGAAAAAAAUGCAUGAAUUUGGAUAGAUAUAUAAAGGUCCCUUGGGUGUUCAGUCAUAAAUCUUUGUAGCUGGAAGGCAGAGCAGACAUAAAUAGGCCUGAUAUAACCAACUGCUUUACAUACAAAUGAGUGCUUGCCUUUUAUUUAGUUGACAAUAUUAUUAUUUCAAAUCCAAGAGGAAUAUUAAAUAACUUCUGUUA